RNAcentral lists this long non-coding RNA (1101 nucleotides) under Homo sapiens (human). Its description in RNAcentral is "TTC29 antisense RNA 1 (TTC29-AS1)". The record is from RNAcentral. Lineage: Eukaryota; Metazoa; Chordata; Mammalia; Primates; Hominidae.
UGGGAGUAGAGAGUGGUGGAGAGAAAGAGAGAAGGUCAGAGAGGUCAGUAAAGUCCAGACCAUGCACAGCUUCAGGUCAGGUGAAGAAUGGGAAGCUAUUGGCAGAUUUUAAGCAGGGGAAUGUCAUGAUCUAAUGUUUUCAAAAGACCACUCUAGCAGGAGUGUGGUGGAGUGAGAGUGGGUGUGGGAAGAGCAGUUAUAUGACCAUUUAAGCGAUCUUAGCAGACAUGAUGGCAGCUCUGCAAUGAAGACCAGGAGAUGAACACGGGAUACAUUUUGGAGUUGUAGCUGAUCGGGCAUACUGAUGGAUUAGAGGGGGGUAGCAGUAAGCAAGGGGUCUUUGAAGAGUUCACCCAGGAGCUUCAAAAUGAGGAACAGUGCUUGCAAUUUCCUUGAAUACUAAGAACAUCCAGCUAUUUGUAGACAGAUAAAAGAGAGCAGCCCCCAGAGGUGCUGAUCCAGCCAAGAUAGCUCAUCCAGGUAACUGCACUGGGGAAAAGAUUAUAUCCAAAACUUUUGGAUUGCUCGACAUUAGAUGUUAACUCUGAGCUAAUACUAAUUUCCAGGGACCCAGAAUGAACUUAUCAAUGGAUAUCAGGAAUGGAGAUGACACAUGAAUAAGCACAGUAACAAGGAUUUCCCCUCACCAGGAUGACGUGGCCUUUGCCAUUGCUGAGAACCCAUUUUGCACGCAAUGAUUGAAUAGAGAAUGCCACCAUGUGAAGUGAUAUUUGAGCUGGAACCUGAGUGAAUGAUGGAAUGGAGAAGUCAGGUACAGAGCUGUGGGGAUAGCAUCACAGGACUGAACAGAAGUAGCUGUGCAACCACCACUAGAAGCCUUCUGAGCGUGUUACUGAAGAGGAUGAGGCAGGAGGCUUCCAGAGGCAACAGCCAAGACUAAGCCAUCAACCACAGGGCCAAACCCAGUAAAAAAGAAAAAUAAGAACACUUCCACUUAAAGAACUGCUGCAAUUAUACUGUUCCUUUUUUUUUUCCAUUAACAUGUCUUUCCUUUUAUGAUGGCGAGAGUUAAUAUUAAGGUGUGCAUAUAUGUUUGUUAAACGAUCUCAUUUUGCAAUUAAAAGUUUGCACUUAUAUUAA